CCUACGGGAGGCAGCAGUGGGGAAUCUUGGACAAUGGGCGAAAGCCUGAUCCAGCGACGCCGCGUGGGUGACGAAGGCCUUCGGGUCGUAAAGCCCUGUCAGUCGGGACGAAUAUCCGUCCGUUAAUAGCGGUCGGAUUGACGGUACCGACAGAGGAAGCCCCGGCUAACUCUGUGCCAGCAGCCGCGGUAAU
RNAcentral lists this ribosomal RNA (193 nucleotides) under uncultured Acidobacteriota bacterium. Its description in RNAcentral is "uncultured Acidobacteria bacterium partial 16S ribosomal RNA". It matches the Rfam family "Bacterial small subunit ribosomal RNA", at positions 338 to 524 of the family's 1533-position model. The record is from RNAcentral. Lineage: Bacteria; Pseudomonadati; Acidobacteriota.